CAGUAGCCACGGUAAUACAGAGGGUGCGAGCGUUAAUCGGAUUUACUGGGCGUAAAGCGUGCGUAGGCGGCUUCUUAAGUCGGAUGUGAAAUCCCUGAGCUUAACUUAGGAAUUGCAUUCGAUACUGGGAAGCUAGAGUAUGGGAGAGGAUGGUAGAAUUCCAGGUGUAGCGGUGAAAUGCGUAGAGAUCUGGAGGAAUACCGAUGGCGAAGGCAGCCAUCUGGCCUAAUACUGACGCUGAGGUACGAAAGCAUGGGGAGCAAAUGGGAUUAGAUACCCCCGUAGUCCCUGUCUCUUAUAU
Molecule: ribosomal RNA, 301 nt
Filed under: uncultured bacterium
Lineage: Bacteria
Description: partial 16S ribosomal RNA
Rfam family: Bacterial small subunit ribosomal RNA
Source: RNAcentral